UGCUCUGUAAUUCAAUCGGUAGAAUGCCAAACUGUUAAUUUGGAGGUUGCAGGUUCGAGUCCUGCCGGAGCAG
This 73-nucleotide transfer RNA is filed under the name Synechococcus phage S-CAM7. RNAcentral's name for it is "tRNA-Asn". It matches the Rfam family "tRNA". Rfam says of the family: Transfer RNA (tRNA) molecules are approximately 80 nucleotides in length. Their secondary structure includes four short double-helical elements and three loops (D, anti-codon, and T loops). The record is from RNAcentral. Lineage: Duplodnaviria; Heunggongvirae; Uroviricota; Caudoviricetes; Pantevenvirales; Kyanoviridae.